Molecule: long non-coding RNA, 90 nt
Organism: Etheostoma cragini (Arkansas darter)
Lineage: Eukaryota; Metazoa; Chordata; Actinopteri; Perciformes; Percidae
Exons: 3
Source: RefSeq, a predicted model, not a curated record
AUGCUAGGGGUUAGCCCCUCGUUCUCAAUGGCAAAUCACUGCUAUAACACACACUUGUUCACCAUAAUCUACAAAAGAACUACUUCCAUG